GGGUUGUGAGGUUAAGCGACUAAGCGUACACGGUGGAUGCCCUGGCAGUCAGAGGCGAUGAAGGGCGUGCUAAUCUGCGAUAAGCGCCGGUAAGGUGAUAUGAACCGUUAUAACCGGCGAUACCCGAAUGGGGAAACCCAGUGUGAUUCGUCACACUAUCAUUAACUGAAUCCAUAGGUUAAUGAGGCGAACCGGGGGAACUGAAACAUCUAAGUACCCCGAGGAAAAGAAAUCAACCGAGAUUCCCCCAGUAGCGGCGAGCGAACGGGGAGGAGCCCAGAGCCUGAAUCAGCAUGUGUGUUAGUGGAAGCGUCUGGAAAGGCGCGCGAUACAGGGUGACAGCCCCGUACACAAAAGCGCAUGUGCUGUGAGCUCGAUGAGUAGGGCGGGACACGUGGUAUCCUGUCUGAAUAUGGGGGGACCAUCCUCCAAGGCUAAAUACUCCUGACUGACCGAUAGUGAACCAGUACCGUGAGGGAAAGGCGAAAAGAACCCCGGCGAGGGGAGUGAAAAAGAACCUGAAACCGUGUACGUACAAGCAGUGGGAGCNNNNNNNNNNNNNNNNNNNNNNNNNNNNNNNNNNNNNNNNNNNGGGCGUUAAGUUGCAGGGUAUAGACCCGAAACCCGGUGAUCUAGCCAUGGGCAGGUUGAAGGUUGGGUAACACUAACUGGAGGACCGAACCGACUAAUGUUGAAAAAUUAGCGGAUGACCUGUGGCUGGGGGUGAAAGGCCAAUCAAACCGGGAGAUAGCUGGUUCUCCCCGAAAGCUAUUUAGGUAGCGCCUCGUGAAUUCAUCUCCGGGGGUAGAGCACUGUUUCGGCUAGGGGGCCAUCCCGGCUUACCAACCCGAUGCAAACUGCGAAUACCGGAGAAUGUUAUCACGGGAGACACACGGCGGGUGCUAACGUCCGUCGUGAAGAGGGAAACAACCCAGACCGCCAGCUAAGGUCCCAAAGUCAUGGUUAAGUGGGAAACGAUGUGGGAAGGCCCAGACAGCCAGGAUGUUGGCUUAGAAGCAGCCAUCAUUUAAAGAAAGCGUAAUAGCUCACUGGUCGAGUCGGCCUGCGCGGAAGAUGUAACGGGGCUAAACCAUGCACCGAAGCUGCGGCAGCGACACUGUGUGUUGUUGGGUAGGGGAGCGUUCUGUAAGCCUGUGAAGGUGUGUCGUGAGGCAUGCUGGAGGUAUCAGAAGUGCGAAUGCUGACAUAAGUAACGAUAAAGCGGGUGAAAAGCCCGCUCGCCGGAAGACCAAGGGUUCCUGUCCAACGUUAAUCGGGGCAGGGUGAGUCGACCCCUAAGGCGAGGCCGAAAGGCGUAGUCGAUGGGAAACGGGUUAAUAUUCCCGUACUUGGUGUUACUGCGAAGGGGGGACGGAGAAGGCUAUGUUGGCCGGGCGACGGUUGUCCCGGUUUAAGCGUGUAGGUGUGUGUUCCAGGUAAAUCCGGUUCACUUUAACACUGAGGCGUGACGACGAGGCACUACGGUGCUGAAGCAACAAAUGCCCUGCUUCCAGGAAAAGCCUCUAAGCAUCAGGUAACAUCAAAUCGUACCCCAAACCGACACAGGUGGUCAGGUAGAGAAUACCAAGGCGCUUGAGAGAACUCGGGUGAAGGAACUAGGCAAAAUGGUGCCGUAACUUCGGGAGAAGGCACGCUGACACGUAGGUGAAGUGAUUUACUCAUGGAGCUGAAGUCAGUCGAAGAUACCAGCUGGCUGCAACUGUUUAUUAAAAACACAGCACUGUGCAAACACGAAAGUGGACGUAUACGGUGUGACGCCUGCCCGGUGCCGGAAGGUUAAUUGAUGGGGUCAGCGCAAGCGAAGCUCCUGAUCGAAGCCCCGGUAAACGGCGGCCGUAACUAUAACGGUCCUAAGGUAGCGAAAUUCCUUGUCGGGUAAGUUCCGACCUGCACGAAUGGCGUAAUGAUGGCCAGGCUGUCUCCACCCGAGACUCAGUGAAAUUGAACUCGCUGUGAAGAUGCAGUGUACCCGCGGCAAGACGGAAAGACCCCGUGAACCUUUACUAUAGCUUGACACUGAACAUUGAGCCUUGAUGUGUAGGAUAGGUGGGAGGCUUUGAAGUGUGGACGCCAGUCUGCAUGGAGCCGACCUUGAAAUACCACCCUUUAAUGUUUGAUGUUCUAACGUGGACCCGUUACCCGGGUUGCGGACAGUGUCUGGUGGGUAGUUUGACUGGGGCGGUCUCCUCCUAAAGAGUAACGGAGGAGCACGAAGGUUGGCUAAUCCUGGUCGGACAUCAGGAGGUUAGUGCAAUGGCAUAAGCCAGCUUGACUGCGAGCGUGACGGCGCGAGCAGGUGCGAAAGCAGGUCAUAGUGAUCCGGUGGUUCUGAAUGGAAGGGCCAUCGCUCAACGGAUAAAAGGUACUCCGGGGAUAACAGGCUGAUACCGCCCAAGAGUUCAUAUCGACGGCGGUGUUUGGCACCUCGAUGUCGGCUCAUCACAUCCUGGGGCUGAAGUAGGUCCCAAGGGUAUGGCUGUUCGCCAUUUAAAGUGGUACGCGAGCUGGGUUUAGAACGUCGUGAGACAGUUCGGUCCCUAUCUGCCGUGGGCGCUGGAGAACUGAGGGGGGCUGCUCCUAGUACGAGAGGACCGGAGUGGACGCAUCACUGGUGUUCGGGUUGUCAUGCCAAUGGCACUGCCCGGUAGCUAAAUGCGGAAGAGAUAAGUGCUGAAAGCAUCUAAGCACGAAACUUGCCCCGAGAUGAGUUCUCCCUGAGACUUAGAGUCUCCUGAAGGAACGUUGAAGACGACGACGUUGAUAGGCCGGGUGUGUAAGCGCAGCGAUGCGUUGAGCUAACCGGUACUAAUGAACCGUGAGGCUUAACCUUACAACGCCGAAG
Molecule: ribosomal RNA, 2863 nt
Filed under: Salmonella enterica subsp. enterica serovar Enteritidis
Lineage: Bacteria; Pseudomonadati; Pseudomonadota; Gammaproteobacteria; Enterobacterales; Enterobacteriaceae
Description: bacterial LSU rRNA
Rfam family: Bacterial large subunit ribosomal RNA
Source: RNAcentral